UGCCCCAUGGCUGAGUCGGUUACAGCGUCCGACUGUUAUGCAGAUGUUUAUCAAUCGGAAGGUCGAGAGUUCGAGCCUCUCUGGGGCAG
Molecule: non-coding RNA, 89 nt
Organism: Gymnopus androsaceus JB14
Lineage: Eukaryota; Fungi; Basidiomycota; Agaricomycetes; Agaricales; Omphalotaceae
Source: the annotation of a GenBank genome assembly